AUGGGCUUAAGGAAAAGGAAAGCAGGGCCCGAGUGUGAUGUUGAAGGUAAGCUACUGCAACUAAAAUCAAUGGUGAAGAAGAGGGUGAUUGGAGGAUCGCGAGGAACAGGUGUAAGCGGAAGUAGCAUUAUGAACAGAAAGAGGAGCGAGAUGAAGGGCAAUGUUACGGUUGGGGUUCCAUGUGAAAUGAAGAUUGGGUGGCGGAUUUAA
Non-coding RNA from Vicia faba (fava bean), 210 nucleotides. The record is from the annotation of a GenBank genome assembly. Lineage: Eukaryota; Viridiplantae; Streptophyta; Magnoliopsida; Fabales; Fabaceae.